This 328-nucleotide unclassified non-coding RNA is filed under the name soil metagenome. Its description in RNAcentral is "partial contains 5.8S ribosomal RNA, internal transcribed spacer 2, and large subunit ribosomal RNA". The stretch from base 1 to 119 matches the Rfam family "5.8S ribosomal RNA", at positions 35 to 154 of the family's 154-position model. The record is from RNAcentral.
GAUGAAAACGUAGCGAAAUGCGAUAAGUAAUGUGAAUUGCAGAAUUCAGUGAAUCAUCGAAUCUUUGAACGCACAUUGCGCCCCUUGGUAUUCCGAGGGGCAUGCCUGUUCGAGCGUCAUUAUAACCCCUCAAGCUCAGCUUGGUGUUGGGGCCUGCUGCACUGGCAGCCCUUAAAAUCAGUGGCGGCGCCAUCUGGCUCUAAGCGUAGUAAUUCUUCUCGCUAUGGAGUCCUGGUGGAUGCUUGCCAUCAACCCCCAAUUUUUCUAUGGUUGACCUCGGAUCAGGUAGGGAUACCCGCUGAACUUAAGCAUAUCAAUAAGCGGAGGA